CCGGUUCUUACGGGCCGAGUCGUUAUCAACGAUUUCUUGUGUUUUACCUCAAAGACCCCAAGAGAAGGGGGCGAACUGUCUUGACAGUCGGUUCACCAUCGCUUAUGAAAGAUCUCUCUCAGAUACAGUGAAUGUAUAAAUGAUAAAUUUGGGUCCUGUCAUCAGAACAACCCCAGCAGUCAAUACAGCGCCAUCCUGCCGCCUUACUGUCGCCCCCACCAUCGUCAUGGAGACCAUGUUGACCGAACCAUGGUGUCCCUGUAGACUCGUCACAAAGUCUGUCACCACCCAGUCACCAUGGCGCCCAACUUGGCCGAGACCCGACGGCGGCAGGGAGCACCUUGUCACCGUGGUAACACGUCUGGGAUGUAACGGCCCCCCCUAGGAAACACACACACACACACACACACACACACACACACACACACACACACCACCCCAUAUGAAAGUUCUUUCUGCAGGCAGAACACAUUUCAUGUUAAAAAUUAUUGUAGCCAUCGACUCUGACGGAUGCGGCUUUGAGAUGAAAGAGUCCAGACAUGUCAAGAAAUUCACUGUGAGAUUUGAUGAAAGAUCGCUCGAGCUAGAGUUUUUGUGCUAUUGCUAUUGAAUGUAACCAGUUUAAGGCCCCUUUUAAACUAGUUUGGCAGUUCCAGUGACUUUCAUUCAUGUCUCCUUCAUCUUUGCUAAAGCAAUUAUUAGCUCGUUUAUAUUAUGAAAAUUAACAUAUUAUUUUGACACUGCUGUGAUAUUAGAUGCAAUAGACUAUAUCACUUAUAACUCUUCUCUAUGGCUGUUGCAUUUGUGCUGUAUUUUCUCAAAUUGAUUCAUCAGUCCUAGAUAAUCAUUUGAAUACACAAAAACACUUUAAGCCAAAAGUUGUUUUUUUUGGCGUUGAUUCGAUACCAUGGAUGGAUUGAACAGACAAGAUAUAUCCAAUGAAACAUGAGCUAAGUUUGAAUAUUGGAAGUUCAAAAUAGAAGCCUGGAUUUGUUGCUCGACAACAAAGAGCAACAUCAAAUUGAAAAGCCAGUGAGUCCAUGUUGUCACAGUGCUCUGCUCCAGGCGUUCAUGGCCUGGAGCAGACAACCCCACAUGGUGCUGGUCUGUCAAUGAACCUGCACAGGGACAGGAAAUAUCUUUACCUGAGAUGGAUAAAGAAGGACAUCAUUUAUUUUUUAAUGCCAGAGCUAGUUGAUCCAUAGGAGUGUAUGCAACCAGUGUUGCCACACUGAAGACUUUGUUUAUGUUUUAAGGAGUGAUAUGAUGUCACCCAAUGCAGCCCAAUACCUGGUGCUUGUAGUAUAUAGUAUAUUCAGCGGUUAACCUUUGUUGCUCGCAUGUCAUUUGUUCAUACAGUGUAUGAACACAUAAAAGGACUUUGAUUCCAGUUUUAUAAUGCUCUCAGUCCUCACAUUUAUACAACAAGAACAAAAAAGAAAACUGAACAAACAAGUAUGGAUGAAAUAAAUAAUUAAUACCUGAUGAAUAUGUGGACAGGGGAUGGGUGGAUAUGUACAUUGUGUGCUAUACAUUUUAAUCAUACAAGUUAAAGACUGAAAAGUCAAAGCCUCACAUUUUAGGCUGUAAAAGUACAGUCUGUGACGGAAGUAAGUGGAUGUGAACCAGAAAUGUUCCAAGAGGCAUGUGAGGUGCUUUUAUAAAUGUGAUGACUCUUUGUUCUUCUGUGAAAACCUGUCACUAUUGCAAUCCAUUGUAACUCUGUUACUCUGUUAGACUCUGAGGAGAGGAACCACAAACUUUCCUAAUCCACCAUUUAAGCAUGAGUGACUGACAAUAACAGAGAUAUUAGAGAUUGUUGGUUAUCACUUAAACCACCGGUCUUACCUCACAACAUUCACUUUUGGCAAACAAUAUCAUGAUGGAGCAAGACUUGGUUUUUGCACUGACUCUGGAUGAUUUAAUACCUAUGAUCAUUUAUUGAUUAACUUAAAUAGUUUAGUUUAUGUUUUUACUCAUAUUUAACUACAUUUAUAUGUAUGUUUACAUUAUUUACAUGGCAUAGACUUUGCUGUACACUAAGUAAACAAAACUUCAUAGACUAGUGCAAACUAUUGGUAUAGUAUAAAUAUAAAUGUCUCUGAAUGUGCGAACAAACAUUUUGAGUUUUGAUCAUGUAGCAGUUUACCAUAAACCUCGAUACAGAUCGCCAUCCGAUAUCAGUAAAACGCGCUCAAGUCCUCUUCGAUGUGGGCUGUCAGACGACUUAUCAAACACUCGUUUGGCACCUUUGUGCUACUUUUGUUUAGUCAUCACUCAUAUAACCACUGUCUCUCUCCACAGGCAAAAAGAAACAGCAGCAGGGGAGAAUUCCCAUGCUGCUGGAGGUGAUGCUGCGGAGCAGCCGAGACAACCCACCAAUCACAGAGAGACAAUGACUGAUCUUCCUGGCCGCCUUACAGAACAUCAGUCAAACUGAGCUUUGUUAGCGCUGCAUUCCUGUGCAUUGUCCUCCUGUUUGCACUCUGCGACAAAACAAUGUUCAUUUCAUCUAUAUCACACGUGAUUCUAGGAUUUUCCUACUGUACACGCAUCCUUCCUCCGAUGCCGUAAUCUGUCCAUUUGUCUCAGGUGUGGUUUGACUAAAAGGUUUGAACACUGAUUUCUGUGGCAGCAGGAAUCAAUGGCCGCAGUCUACUUUGUGUGGGUCUGUCACAUUAGCACAGUGUUUUAAUUAAACUGAAGGAGACGUGCAGGAAGACAGGGGGACAAUGACUGAUCCCCAGGCUGCCGGACACGACGUUGUUCAGACAGAGCUUUGUUAGCACUGCCUGCCUUUGAAUUGUCCUGUCUACAACCGCUUAAUCAAAGGAUGCCAAUUAUAUCUCAGUCAUUUAGACAUAGAAUAUUAUGAACUACAUGACUGAUUAUUUGUCUUUGUAAAAACAUAGUUGAAACUCUACUCUGAUAACUGUGCAUAGUGCACAAACUGACCAGCCAAACCUUUAGCACUUACUUUAUGUAUUAGUGCAAGUGUGACAUUUUCCUUACAGUAUCAUAUUUGACAGCAGUUUGAGGGAUCAGUAUGUGUGAACAUUUGUUGGGAGAACACUUUCAGCCUAAUGAACAUGAAGAUACAAGCUGUCUCAACCAAACAACAUUAUGCCGAUGCGCAGGAGCGCGCAUGGACGAGGUGUAGUGCGACUUCUAAACUCAUUCAUGAAGUUAUCCGAGGAGAGGAGAGCCUAGACAGCAGGAGAAUGAAAAACUCGUUAAGCUAUUUUUUCUUCUUUCUUUUUUUCUUCUGGCAGACAAGCUCAGGCAACUGUGACUGUGUGUGUUUCUCUCUGUGUGUGUCCUGCCCUCUCUAUUCUGUAGACUGGCAGGGAAGUUGAUACGACUGAGAUAGGAAUGUCAGCGCAGGAUCAACACCCCUGCUGGUGGACACCAGUUGGGGGUCGGUCUCCUCUGGGACGCAUCUAAAUGUGUGUGUUUGAUAAGACAUGUGAAUAAGUGUGUGUGUGUGUGUGUGUGUGUGUGUGUGUGUGUGUGUGUGUGUGUGUGUGUGUGUGUGUGUUAUAGGGCCAGUGUCUGGGCCGUUUUGGGGGGAAGGGAGGUUAGAGCGGUGACAGGCUCAGCUGUGUUGAAUUGUGGGAGAAAAGAGCUGACGCGACGGGAGUUGAUGUCUGACAUGACCCCUCUCAGCAGGCACACCGCAGGGAGCUGGGAGCUGCCGCUGACUGAGUGUGUUUUUUGUGUCAACGUGUAUUUGUGUAAGUGGGAAAGUGAAGGAGAGACGAUGAGUUAUAAAGUGAGGAGCAACAACAACAGCAACAACAAAAAGGACGUUUCUUUUCGUCGCCCUGGUCCACUUUCACCACCAAUCCUGAUUUCUCUGACAUUCAGGGCAGAGUCCGGCUCUCCGUGAAACACCACCUUGAUGGAUGUGACACUGGACUUCUCCCGCGGUGUAACCCAAUCUUCUCCGGCCUUUCCUUCCUCCACCUUCCAUUUUCUCUCCCUCCAUAUCAUAUACCCCUCCUUGACCUUCUCGCUCUUUGUUGGUGUCCCCGUGCUCCCUCCUUCCCUCUCGCUCUGCCCUGCUCAGUCUCACCUGAGGCUUCAUUCAGGCUGGUAAAGUGAUCUUCGGGUCUAUGCUGCUGCGCUGCAGCUCGUUGUGCUUCCAUUCAAAUCCAUUUCUCUUUGCCCGUUUUUGCGCUUCACAUUUUUUCCUGUCUCAUCUGUAUUUGUAUCGUCCGUCAAUUCUUUCUUUCCUCAUUUUCUUCCAUAUCAGUCAAAACAUACACACACACACACACACACACACACACUCCAUCCCUUUCUAUUCACUGUCUCUCCUCUCUGGGUCCAGCACUUUGCCAUCAGUCUUCUGAUAAGUGCCCACAAAGCCCCCACUGUCUAGUGUGACCCUCUAUUCUUCUCCCAUCCUCUCUCUCUCCCUCUCUCUCUCCUUCUCUCUCCAUCCUGGAGCAGCCAAGCGUGAGGUAAAAGAGGAGGGGCAGUUUAUCUUGUGCACACACCCCAACUUGUUUUACCUUCACCCCUUCUUCUACUUUCCUCUCGUUCCCUCCAUCAAACUUUUUUGCCCUUACUCAUUUUAACUUCCAGCCACGACCUCUGCCUUUGAAGAACUUUCUGUCGUUCUUACUCUGGUCUCCGUCUGACUUUCCUCGGUCUGCAGGGAAGCCUUGCCCCUCCUCCCGCCCGCGCUCACAAUGGAUGCUGAUGCUUUUAAUGUGGGACAAUGGGGCAGAUCUGAAAGGUUAGCCAGCCCUUUGCACUGUAUCCCCAUGCACUCUCCACCCUCCACUGAUCCUUCUCUUUUCCCCCCACUGUCACCUACACCUGCCUCUCAUCUUGAUCCUUUAAUUCUUGUAAAUUUCUUAUUAUUUCUGUUUCUCCCCCUUACUGAUGUUGUUUCGGGAUCAUGUGCAAAAGGGAUGCAGCUAACAUGAAAAGCCUCAUGUGAUCAUACAUUUUGCUCGUAACAGAGAUCUGAUAACAAUAUGACCUAGUUCACGCCAACAAAAGAACUGCAUCAUCUCUAUAGUGAGAAUUUAAAAAAAAAAAAGCUACAGUCGGCCAACAAAAAAAGACGGCCCCCCAUAUUUUCCUGCAGCGCAAUGUGACAUCACCUGGCUGUGCAUCACAUGGGCCGAUCAUUUAUUGCAUGAUACAUUCAAGCAGAGGCACACUGGUGUACCAUUUAUGAACGUGUAAGACAACCUCAAAGAGGAGCCCGUCACAGUUGCUGAAUGAAAUGAUUUAGCCGUCAAACUCAUGGAUUUAUCACUGGAACUGAACAAUAGAGAUUUUUGAAAGUCACUCGACUCAUUCAGUCAGACUUUUCUUUUUUAGAACAAAUUUAAACUGCCUUCCAGAGUUUACACCACUGAAAAUGGCAUCUUUCUUCACCUCUGUUCGCAACCUAGUCCUGUCUGUGACUUCUUAUUUAAUAAAAAACUUUUUCAAGUUCAA
Long non-coding RNA from Scophthalmus maximus (turbot), 5460 nucleotides. RefSeq lists it as uncharacterized. The record is from RefSeq and is a predicted model, not a curated record. The transcript is spliced from 3 exons. Lineage: Eukaryota; Metazoa; Chordata; Actinopteri; Pleuronectiformes; Scophthalmidae.